GCGGGCGUGGCGUAAUGGUAGCCGCAACGGACUUAAAAUCCGUUGGAAGAAAUUCCGUGCCGGUUCGAGUCCGGCCGCCCGCACCA
RNAcentral lists this transfer RNA (86 nucleotides) under Hyphomicrobiales bacterium. RNAcentral describes it as "tRNA-Leu". It matches the Rfam family "tRNA". Rfam says of the family: Transfer RNA (tRNA) molecules are approximately 80 nucleotides in length. Their secondary structure includes four short double-helical elements and three loops (D, anti-codon, and T loops). The record is from RNAcentral. RNAcentral also lists the same sequence under 2 other names. Lineage: Bacteria; Pseudomonadati; Pseudomonadota; Alphaproteobacteria; Hyphomicrobiales.